Molecule: ribosomal RNA, 468 nt
Filed under: uncultured bacterium
Lineage: Bacteria
Description: partial 16S ribosomal RNA
Rfam family: Bacterial small subunit ribosomal RNA
Source: RNAcentral
GACGAACGCUGGCGGCGUGCUUAACACAUGCAAGUCGAACGGAAAGACCCUGCUUUUGUGGGGUGCUCGAGUGGCGAACGGGUGAGUAACACGUGAGUAACCUGCCCUUGACUUUGGGAUAACUUCAGGAAACUGGGGCUAAUACCGGAUAGGAGCUCCUGCUGCAUGGUGGGGGUUGGAAAGUUUCGGCGGUUGGGGCUGGACUCGCGGCUUAUCAGCUUGUUGGUGGGGUAGUGGCUUACCAAGGCUUUGACGGGUAGCCGGCCUGAGAGGGUGACCGGCCACAUUGGGACUGCGAUACGGCCCAGACUCGUACGGGAGGCAGCAGUGGGGAAUAUUGCACAAUGGGCGGAAGCCUGAUGCAGCAGCGCCGCGUGCGGGAUGACGGCCUUCGGGUUGUAAACCGCUUUCGCCUGUGACGAAGCGUGAGUGACGGUAAUGGGUAAAGAAGCACCGGCUAACUACGUG